Molecule: ribosomal RNA, 222 nt
Filed under: uncultured bacterium
Lineage: Bacteria
Description: partial 16S ribosomal RNA
Rfam family: Bacterial small subunit ribosomal RNA
Source: RNAcentral
CGACGUGAGUAACCUGCCUCUAAGAGGGGAAGUAACAUUCUGAAAAGAAUGCUAAUACCGCAUAACAUAUAUUUAUCGCAUGGUAGAUAUAUCAAAGAUUUAUCGCUUAGAGAUGGACUCGCGUCCGAUUAGUUAGUUGGUGAGGUAACGGCUCACCAAGACCACGAUCGGUAGCCGGACUGAGAGGUUGAACGGCCACAUUGGGACUGAGACACGGCCCAG